RNAcentral lists this ribosomal RNA (1359 nucleotides) under uncultured bacterium. RNAcentral describes it as "bacterial SSU rRNA". It matches the Rfam family "Bacterial small subunit ribosomal RNA", at positions 28 to 1381 of the family's 1533-position model. The record is from RNAcentral.
GAUGAACGCUAGCUACAGGCUUAACACAUGCAAGUCGAGGGGCAGCAUUUUAGUUUGCUUGCAAACUAAAGAUGGCGACCGGCGCACGGGUGAGUAACACGUAUCCAACCUGCCGAUAACUCGGGGAUAGCCUUUCGAAAGAAAGAUUAAUAUCCGAUGGUAUAUUAAAACCGCAUGGUUUUACUAUUAAAGAAUUUCGGUUAUCGAUGGGGAUGCGUUCCAUUAGUUUGUUGGCGGGGUAACGGCCCACCAAGACUACGAUGGAUAGGGGUUCUGAGAGGAAGGUCCCCCACAUUGGAACUGAGACACGGUCCAAACUUCUACGGGAGGCAGCAGUGAGGAAUAUUGGUCAAUGGACGAGAGUCUGAACCAGCCAAGUAGCGUGGAGGAUGACUGCCCUAUGGGUUGUAAACUUCUUUUAUAUGGGAAUAAAGUAUUCCACGUGUGGGAUUUUGUAUGUACCAUAUGAAUAAGGAUCGGCUAACUCCGUGCCAGCAGCCGCGGUAAUACGGAGGAUCCGAGCGUUAUCCGGAUUUAUUGGGUUUAAAGGGAGCGUAGGUGGAUUGUUAAGUCAGUUGUGAAAGUUUGCGGCUCAACCGUAAAAUUGCAGUUGAAACUGGCAGUCUUGAGUACAGUAGAGGUGGGCGGAAUUCGUGGUGUAGCGGUGAAAUGCUUAGAUAUCACGAAGAACUCCGAUUGCGAAGGCAGCUCACUAGACUGCAACUGACACUGAUGCUCGAAAGUGUGGGUAUCAAACAGGAUUAGAUACCCUGGUAGUCCACACAGUAAACGAUGAAUACUCGCUGUUUGCGAUAUACAGUAAGCGGCCAAGCGAAAGCAUUAAGUAUUCCACCUGGGGAGUAUGCCGGCAACGGUGAAACUCAAAGGAAUUGACGGGGGCCCGCACAAGCGGAGGAACAUGUGGUUUAAUUCGAUGAUACGCGAGGAACCUUACCCGGGCUUAAAUUGCAUUUGAAUAAUCUGGAAACAGGUUAGCCGCAAGGCAAAUGUGAAGGUGCUGCAUGGUUGUCGUCAGCUCGUGCCGUGAGGUGUCGGCUUAAGUGCCAUAACGAGCGCAACCCUUAUCUUUAGUUACUAACAGGUCAUGCUGAGGACUCUAGAGAGACUGCCGUCGUAAGAUGUGAGGAAGGUGGGGAUGACGUCAAAUCAGCACGGCCCUUACGUCCGGGGCUACACACGUGUUACAAUGGGGGGUACAGAAGGCAGCUACCUGGUGACAGGAUGCUAAUCCCAAAAACCUCUCUCAGUUCGGAUCGAAGUCUGCAACCCGACUUCGUGAAGCUGGAUUCGCUAGUAAUCGCGCAUCAGCCAUGGCGCGGUGAAUACGUUCCCGGGCCU